AUCACCGGAAGCACUUUACUAUCCGAGCAUCCGUCUUCCGGUCAUGGGCAACAUGUUUGUAGCGGUGUAGCCGUGUCCAUCUGCCUGCUUAUUCGAUUCUAUAGAAACAUCUUUGUCUAUUUGACAGCUGUAUUGAUAUCGUAAAAUAUAUUUAGCAAGCAAUCCGGAAGGCAAAAUGAAUAUACGCAACGCACGGCCAGAGGAUCUGAUGAACAUGCAGCACUGCAACCUGCUGUGUCUUCCAGAGAACUAUCAGAUGAAGUACUACUUCUACCACGGCCUGUCCUGGCCACAGCUGUCAUACAUAGCAGAGGAUGAGAAUGGGAAGAUAGUGGGAUAUGUUUUGGCUAAAAUGUAAG
This is a long non-coding RNA of Sinocyclocheilus grahami, 359 nucleotides long. RefSeq lists it as uncharacterized. NCBI's taxonomy places the organism in Eukaryota, Metazoa, Chordata, Actinopteri, Cypriniformes, Cyprinidae. The record is from RefSeq and is a predicted model, not a curated record. The transcript is spliced from 3 exons.